Molecule: ribosomal RNA, 502 nt
Filed under: uncultured bacterium
Lineage: Bacteria
Description: partial 16S ribosomal RNA
Rfam family: Bacterial small subunit ribosomal RNA
Source: RNAcentral
AUUGAACGCUGGCGGAAUGCUUUACACAUGCAAGUCGAACGGCAGCACGGGUGCUUGCACCUGGUGGCGAGUGGCGAACGGGUGAGUAACAUAUCGGAACGUACCCAGUAAUGGGGGAUAACUAACCGAAAGGUUAGCUAAUACCGCAUACGCCCUGAGGGGGAAAGCGGGGGAUCGAAAGACCUCGCCUUAUUGGAGCGGCCGAUAUCUGAUUAGCUAGUUGGUGAGGUAAAGGCUCACCAAGGCGACGAUCAGUAGCAGGUCUGAGAGGCUGCUCUGCCACACUGGAACUGAGACACGGUCCAGACUCCUACGGGAGGCAGCAGUGGGGAAUUUUGGACAAUGGACGCAAGUCUGAUCCAGCCAUUCCGCGUGCAGGAUGAAGGCCCUCGGGUUGUAAACUGCUUUUGUACAGAACGAAAAGGUUUCUACUAAUACUAGGAGCUCAUGACGGUACUGUAAGAAUAAGCACCGGCUGACUACGUGCCAGCCGCCGCGGUAA